Molecule: long non-coding RNA, 368 nt
Organism: Empidonax traillii (willow flycatcher)
Lineage: Eukaryota; Metazoa; Chordata; Aves; Passeriformes; Tyrannidae
Exons: 4
Source: RefSeq, a predicted model, not a curated record
UAGGGCAUAAAAAGAGGAGGGGAAAAGAAAGAACAGAAAGUAGAACAUGUGAAGGAAAAGGGCAGCAAAGAAAGAGGAAAUUAGGAGAGAGGAGAAACAAGUGCUGGAAGUAAAGGAGUAGAUGGUGGAGGAGGAGGCAGCAUAAAGAGAUCCGAUGUACAGAGCUUUUAGUCCACUCUAAAAUGGAUCUUAGACUAUCUCAAGCUGUGCGCUGCAGAGAGUAGUUUUGAACUGAGAGGAAGAGCGAUGAACAUGUAUCAGAAGAGAAAAUCAGCUGCUGCUUGGGAAGCAACCUGGAAGUUUGCUCCUUCCUCACAAGACUGAGGGUAUAAUUAGAACCACGCACCUGCUCAGUCCUCCAGUGGCUC